AGCGUACACGGUGGAUGCCCUGGCAGUCAGAGGCGAUGAAGGACGUGCUAAUCUGCGAUAAGCGUCGGUAAGGUGAUAUGAACCGUUAUAACCGGCGAUUUCCGAAUGGGGAAACCCAGUGUGAUUCGUCACACUAUCAUUACGUGAAUACAUAGCGUAAUGAAGCGAACCGGGGGAACUGAAACAUCUAAGUACCCCGAGGAAAAGAAAUCAACCGAGAUUCCCCCAGUAGCGGCGAGCGAACGGGGAGGCAGCCCAGAGUCUGAAUCAGCUUGUGUGUUAGUGGAACGGUCUGGAAAGUCCGACGGUACAGGGUGAUAGUCCCGUACACCAAAAUGCACAGGUUGUGAACUCGAAGAGUAGGGCGGGACACGUGGUAUCCUGUCUGAAUAUGGGGGGACCAUCCUCCAAGGCUAAAUACUCCUGACUGACCGAUAGUGAACCAGUACCGUGAGGGAAAGGCGAAAAGAACCCCGGCGAGGGGAGUGAAAAAGAACCUGAAACCGUGUACGUACAAGCAGUGGGAGCCUCUUUAUGGGGUGACUGCGUACCUUUUGUAUAAUGGGUCAGCGACUUAUAUUCUGUAGCAAGGUUAACCGAAUAGGGGAGCCGAAGGGAAACCGAGUCUUAACUGGGCGUUAAGUUGCAGGGUAUAGACCCGAAACCCGGUGAUCUAGCCAUGGGCAGGUUGAAGGUUGGGUAACACUAACUGGAGGACCGAACCGACUAAUGUUGAAAAAUUAGCGGAUGACUUGUGGCUGGGGGUGAAAGGCCAAUCAAACCGGGAGAUAGCUGGUUCUCCCCGAAAGCUAUUUAGGUAGCGCCUCGUGAAUUCAUCUUCGGGGGUAGAGCACUGUUUCGGCUAGGGGGUCAUCCCGACUUACCAACCCGAUGCAAACUGCGAAUACCGAAGAAUGUUAUCACGGGAGACACACGGCGGGUGCUAACGUCCGUCGUGAAGAGGGAAACAACCCAGACCGCCAGCUAAGGUCCCAAAGUCACAGUUAAGUGGGAAACGAUGUGGGAAGGCACAGACAGCCAGGAUGUUGGCUUAGAAGCAGCCAUCAUUUAAAGAAAGCGUAAUAGCUCACUGGUCGAGUCGGCCUGCGCGGAAGAUGUAACGGGGCUAAACUGUGCACCGAAGCUGCGGCAGCGACACUAUGUGUUGUUGGGUAGGGGAGCGUUCUGUAAGCCGUUGAAGGUGUGUCGUGAGGCAUGCUGGAGGUAUCAGAAGUGCGAAUGCUGACAUAAGUAACGAUAAUGCGGGUGAAAAACCCGCACGCCGGAAGACCAAGGGUUCCUGUCCAACGUUAAUCGGGGCAGGGUGAGUCGACCCCUAAGGCGAGGCCGAAAGGCGUAGUCGAUGGGAAACAGGUUAAUAUUCCUGUACUUGGUGUUACUGCGAAGGGGGGACGGAGAAGGCUAUGUUAGCCGGGCGACGGUUGUCCCGGUUUAAGCAUGUAGGCGGAGGUUCCAGGUAAAUCCGGUACCUUUUUAACGCUGAGGUGUGAUGACGAGGCACUACGGUGCUGAAGUAACAAAUGCCCUGCUUCCAGGAAAAGCCUCUAAGCAUCAGGUAACACCAAAUCGUACCCCAAACCGACACAGGUGGUCAGGUAGAGAAUACCAAGGCGCUUGAGAGAACUCGGGUGAAGGAACUAGGCAAAAUGGUGCCGUAACUUCGGGAGAAGGCACGCUGAUAUGUAGGUGAAGUGAUUUACUCAUGGAGCUGAAAUCAGUCGAAGAUACCAGCUGGCUGCAACUGUUUAUUAAAAACACAGCACUGUGCAAACACGAAAGUGGACGUAUACGGUGUGACGCCUGCCCGGUGCCGGAAGGUUAAUUGAUGGGGUUAUCCGUAAGGAGAAGCUCUUGAUCGAAGCCCCGGUAAACGGCGGCCGUAACUAUAACGGUCCUAAGGUAGCGAAAUUCCUUGUCGGGUAAGUUCCGACCUGCACGAAUGGCGUAAUGAUGGCCAGGCUGUCUCCACCCGAGACUCAGUGAAAUUGAACUCGCUGUGAAGAUGCAGUGUACCCGCGGCAAGACGGAAAGACCCCGUGAACCUUUACUAUAGCUUGACACUGAACACUGGUCCUUGAUGUGUAGGAUAGGUGGGAGGCUUUGAAGUGUGGACGCCAGUCUGCAUGGAGCCAACCUUGAAAUACCACCCUUUAAUGGCUGGUGUUCUAACGUGGGCCCGUAAUCCGGGUUGCGG
Molecule: ribosomal RNA, 2215 nt
Filed under: Shigella flexneri 1235-66
Lineage: Bacteria; Pseudomonadati; Pseudomonadota; Gammaproteobacteria; Enterobacterales; Enterobacteriaceae
Description: bacterial LSU rRNA
Rfam family: Bacterial large subunit ribosomal RNA
Source: RNAcentral